GACGAACGCUGGCGGCGUGCUUAACACAUGCAAGUCGAACGAAGAGCGAUGGAAGCUUGCUUCUAUCAAUCUUAGUGGCGAACGGGUGAGUAACGCGUAAUCAACCUGCCCUUCAGAGGGGGACAACAGUUGGAAACGACUGCUAAUACCGCAUACGAUCUAAUCUCGGCAUCGAGGAUAGAUGAAAGGUGGCCUCUACAUGUAAGCUAUCACUGAAGGAGGGGAUUGCGUCUGAUUAGCUAGUUGGAGGGGUAACGGCCCACCAAGGCGAUGAUCAGUAGCCGGUCUGCGAGGAUGAACGGCCACAUUGGGACGGAGACACGGCCCAGCCUCCUACGGGAGGCAGCAGUGGGGAAUCUUCCGCAAUGGAAGAAAGUCUGACGGAGCAACGCCGCGUGAGCGAUGACGGCCUUCGGGUUGUAAAGCUCUGUUAAUCGGGACGAAAGGCCUUCUUGCGAAUAGGGAGAAGGAUUGACGGUACCGGAAUAGAAAGCCACGGCUAACUACGUG
Molecule: ribosomal RNA, 510 nt
Filed under: uncultured bacterium
Lineage: Bacteria
Description: partial 16S ribosomal RNA
Rfam family: Bacterial small subunit ribosomal RNA
Source: RNAcentral